This 253-nucleotide ribosomal RNA is filed under the name uncultured bacterium. Its description in RNAcentral is "partial 16S ribosomal RNA". It matches the Rfam family "Bacterial small subunit ribosomal RNA", at positions 524 to 776 of the family's 1533-position model. The record is from RNAcentral.
UACAGAGGUGGCAAGCGUUGUUCGGAAUUACUGGGCGUAAAGGGCGCGUAGGCGGCUUGGCAAGUGGAAGGUGAAAUCCCUCGGCUUAACCGAGGAACUGCCCUCCAAACUGCUUUGCUUGAGGCCGGGAGAGGCGAGUGGAAUUCCCAGUGUAGCGGUGAAAUGCGUAGAUAUUGGGAGGAACACCAGUGGCGAAGGCGGCUCGCUGGACCGGUUCUGACGCUGAGGCGCGAAAGCGUGGGGAGCAAACGGG